RNAcentral lists this ribosomal RNA (467 nucleotides) under uncultured bacterium. Its description in RNAcentral is "partial 16S ribosomal RNA". It matches the Rfam family "Bacterial small subunit ribosomal RNA", at positions 28 to 507 of the family's 1533-position model. The record is from RNAcentral.
GACGAACGCUGGCGGCGUGCUUAACACAUGCAAGUCGAACGGAAAGGCUCCAGCUUGCUGGAGUACUCGAGUGGCGAACGGGUGAGUAACACGUGGGUAAUCUGCCCUGCACUCUGGGAUAAGCCUGGGAAACUGGGUCUAAUACUGGAUAUGACCUUUCUCCUUAUGGGGUUUGGUGGAAAGUUUUUCGGUGUAGGAUGAGCCCGCGGCCUAUCAGCUUGUUGGUGGGGUGAUGGCCUACCAAGGCGACGACGGGUAGCCGGCCUGAGAGGGUGAUCGGCCACAUUGGGACUGAGAUACGGCCCAAACUCCUGCGGGAGGCAGCAGUGGGGAAUAUCGCACAAUGGGCGGAAGCCUGAUGCAGCGACGCCGCGUGAGGGAUGACGACCUUCGGGUUGUAAACCUCUUUCAGCAGGGACGAAGCGUAAGUGACGGUACCUGCAGAAGAAGCACCGGCUAACUAUGUG